GCAGAUUCGUUGAACACUUAUUCCAGGCACUGUGCUAGAUGCUGAAGUUACAAAUAUAAAUAAGAGGAGUGGACGGAGGCUCAGAGACAGGAUGUGACUGCUCCCUGCAGCCUUUGAGUGUCUCCAGAAUGAUCUCCCUGCCUCAGGAGAAUCAGCCUGAAAAUGCAAUAUCCGGGCAGCCCCAACCUCGUCACUGCCUCAGAUGCGACAUGUGGAUAAGAGAUCCCACAGGCCAGACCCAGAAGCACCCCCUUGUCCCGCAGCCUCCCUGACAGAAGAGGGACCUUGGACUUCAGAGACUGAUUACUGUGACACUGAGGCCAUGUUGUUAGCAUUUCUGGAAUGCACAUCUUGUUAUCUGUAUGGGCAAAUGAGUGUCAUCCAAAUAUAUCUGAGUCAUACUGCUUCAGCCUUAAGGCCUGGUUUCCUACAGUGCCACAUUAAAAAGAAAAACAAA
Long non-coding RNA from Hippopotamus amphibius kiboko, 457 nucleotides. RefSeq lists it as uncharacterized. Lineage: Eukaryota; Metazoa; Chordata; Mammalia; Artiodactyla; Hippopotamidae. The transcript is spliced from 3 exons. The record is from RefSeq and is a predicted model, not a curated record.